This 424-nucleotide ribosomal RNA is filed under the name Fusobacteriota bacterium. RNAcentral's name for it is "Fusobacteria bacterium partial 16S ribosomal RNA". It matches the Rfam family "Bacterial small subunit ribosomal RNA", at positions 355 to 776 of the family's 1533-position model. Lineage: Bacteria; Fusobacteriati; Fusobacteriota. The record is from RNAcentral.
UGAGGAAUAUUGGUCAAUGGGCGAGAGCCUGACCCAGCCAAGUAGCGUGCAGGAUGACGGCCCUAUGGGUUGUAAACUGCUUUUAUGUGGGGAUAAAGUGCGUGACGUGUCAUGCAUUGCAGGUACCACAUGAAUAAGGACCGGCUAAUUCCGUGCCAGUAGCCGCGGUAAUACGGAAGGUCCGGGCGUUAUCCGCAUCUAUUGGGUUUAAAGGGAGCGUAGGCUGUCUAUUAAGCGUGUUGUGAAAUUUACCGGCUCAACCGGUGGCUUGCAGCGCGAACUGGUCGACUUGAGUAUGCAGGAAGUAGGCGGAGUUCAUGGUGUAGCGGUGAAAUGCUUAGAUAUCAUGACGAACUCCGAUUGCGCAGGCAGCUUACUGUAGCAUAACUGACGCUGAUGCUCGAAAGUGCGGGUAUCAAACAGG